Magnolia sinica is the source of this 719-nucleotide long non-coding RNA. RefSeq lists it as uncharacterized. The transcript has 3 exons. NCBI's taxonomy places the organism in Eukaryota, Viridiplantae, Streptophyta, Magnoliopsida, Magnoliales, Magnoliaceae. The record is from RefSeq and is a predicted model, not a curated record.
UUUUAAUGUUUUUCAGAUUUUAAUGAUUGUAUUUAUAUGCAUGUGGUGUCCUCAGGUCUUACAUGAACUAAUUUAUAUGCAUGUGGUGUCUGCAGAUCUUACAUGAACUAAUACGACGCCCCAACUAGAUUAUGUGGAGCAAGAAAGAAGUGGCAUCAAAUCUAGAUGUCGUAACAGAUGUGUAUGAUUUCCUCCAUUUGGUAAGCACCAUUUCUAGUGAAAAAGAAGUAAGCAAUGAAUGUCUAGGUGCAGAUGUUGAUGAAAAAGAAGUAAGCAAUGAAGCAGCCCAUUCAAUCUGAUCAAUCUACUCCCUGGGGAGGUUGGAAAUCAAAUGAUGUGUACAACAAUUCAGGAUGUUGUUUGAAUUACUUGUCCUAACAGGUGCACAAGUUGGGAUGGAUUGGACUUCUAUCUUGAGAAAACGCCGUGAUUUCAGGUAGUUAUUAUUGUAAUGGAAAGUUAAAAAAUUAAGAGAGAGAGAGAGAUAAUGAAUUCAUGGAAAGAAAUGUUCUUUAUCAUUAGGGCUGCUUUCGCCGGGUUUGAUGCAGAAAUCGUUGUCAACUUCAUAAAAAGACAAAUAGCAUCAGUGGCCACAGAUUGCAACUUGGAUUUAAACAAGGUUCGAGGUGCCGUCAACAAUACUAACAAAAUCCUCCAGGUCAGAUUGUUGAUUGGACCUGAUUUUAUUUAAAUGAUCUUGAUAAUCCAUUUUAUUUAAA